UACGGAGGAUCCAAGCGUUUAUCCGAAUUACUGGGCGUAAAGCGCACGCAGACGGCCUGUCAAGUCGGAUGUGAAAUCCCCGGGCUCAACCUGGGAACUGCAUCCGAAACCGGCAGGCUAGAGUCUUGUAGAGGGGGGUAGAAUUCCAGGUGUAGCGGUGAAAUGCGUAGAGAUCUGGAGGAAUACCGGUGGCGAAGGCGGCCCCCUGGACAAAGACUGACGCUCAGUAGCGAAAGCGUGGGGAGCAAACAGG
Molecule: unclassified non-coding RNA, 253 nt
Filed under: uncultured Enterobacteriaceae bacterium
Lineage: Bacteria; Pseudomonadati; Pseudomonadota; Gammaproteobacteria; Enterobacterales; Enterobacteriaceae
Description: contains 16S-23S intergenic spacer region
Rfam family: Bacterial small subunit ribosomal RNA
Source: RNAcentral